CCUACGGGAGGCAGCAGUGGGGAAUUUUGGACAAUGGGCGCAAGCCUGAUCCAGCAAUGCCGCGUGAGUGAAGAAGGCCUUCGGGUUGUAAAGCUCUUUUGUCAGGGAAGAAACGGUGAUUUCUAAUACAGAUUGCUAAUGACGGUACCUGAAGAAUAAGCACCGGCUAACUACGUGCCAGCAGCCGCGGUAAUACGUAGGGUGCAAGCGUUAAUCGGAAUUACUGGGCGUAAAGCGUGCGCAGGCGGUUUUGUAAGUUUGUCGUGAAAUCCCCGGGCUCAACCUGGGAAUGGCGAUGAAGACUGCAAGGCUAGAAUCUGGCAGAGGGGGGUAGAAUUCCACGUGUAGCAGUGAAAUGCGUAGAGAUGUGGAGGAACACCGAUGGCGAAGGCAGCCCCCUGGGUCAAGAUUGACGCUCAUGCACGAAAGCGUGGGGAGCAAACAGGAUUAGAUACCCUGGUAGUCCACGCCCUAAACGAUGUCUACUAGUUGUCGGGUUUUAAUUAACUUGGUAACGCAGCUAACGCGUGAAGUAGACCGCCGUGGGGAAGUACGGUCGCGAAAGUAUUAAAACGUUAAAGGGAAUUGACCGGCUGAGACGNGCGACGGACGACGACGAGGGAGGAGG
This 628-nucleotide ribosomal RNA is filed under the name uncultured bacterium. RNAcentral describes it as "bacterial SSU rRNA". The stretch from base 1 to 542 matches the Rfam family "Bacterial small subunit ribosomal RNA", at positions 338 to 873 of the family's 1533-position model. The record is from RNAcentral.